This 497-nucleotide ribosomal RNA is filed under the name uncultured bacterium. RNAcentral describes it as "partial 16S ribosomal RNA". It matches the Rfam family "Bacterial small subunit ribosomal RNA", at positions 28 to 507 of the family's 1533-position model. The record is from RNAcentral.
GAUGAACGCUGGCGGCGUGCCUAAUACAUGCAAGUCGAGCGAACAGACGAGGAGCUUGCUCCUCUGACGUUAGCGGCGGACGGGUGAGUAACACGUGGAUAACCUACCUAUAAGACUGGGAUAACUUCGGGAAACCGGAGCUAAUACCGGAUAAUAUAUUGAACCGCAUGGUUCAAUAGUGAAAUACGGUUUUGCUGUCACUUAUAGAUGGAUCCGCGCCGCAUUAGCUAGUUGGUAAGGUAACGGCUUACCAAGGCAACGAUGCGUAGCCGACCUGAGAGGGUGAUCGGCCACACUGGAACUGAGACACGGUCCACACUCCUACGGGAGGCAGCAGUAGGGAAUCUUCCGCAAUGGGCGAGAGCCUGACGGAGCAACGCCGCGUGAGUGAUGAAGGUCUUCGGAUCGUAAAACUCUGUUAUUAGGGAAGAACAAAUGUGUAAGUAACUAUGCACGUCUUGACGGUACCUAAUCAGAAAGCCACGGCUAACUACGUG